GCAAUAUUCAAAACUGUCCAGCUAGGUCAGUGGGUCUAGUUGGCAAUUUUAGUCCACUGAAGUCACUCCUCAGCUCUGGUCCAUCUGUACAGUUACCAGCUAAUGAGCUCUUGUCCAUCUCUCACCCCGAAUCUGCACAAUUGUGUACUUAGCCUUAUCAGGCUGCAAACAAAUAGUGCGAGUAAGAACUGCCAUAAAGUGCUGUUAUUGCCGUACUAACCCACAGGGGGCGAGAACAUCAACCGCAAUUGGACUGACCCCAGUAACUUAACUGAGUGAUUAUUUUCCUGCUAGGGAUUUGGAAGAGAACCGUUUUCAAAGAGACUCUACAUAUUCUGACCCCCAAGCCGAUUCUCUGAGGAAGGAUGUGUCCGGACUAACCUACAGCACUGCAUCAGAACCAAGGUCAGAUGAGAACAGUCUGAGUGAUGUAACAGACGGGCAGCUGUGCCUCGCUCUCUUCAAUCUGCUGUACAGACCACCCUAUCAGUCACAGCAGCUGUACAGUACACAGGAUUACUAGACCUAUUUUAAAGCUGACUAAUGUAUGGAAAAAUCGACUAAAAGCAAAACACAAGAAUCUUACUCCACUUGCAUCUACAUUAUCCGCGGAAUGAACAGUCUGGAUGUUUCCACCCCGGCAAUUAAAAUAAUGGAUUUUCAAAAAGUUAAAUUUGCUAUAAAUUUACCCUGCCUAGAAGAUGUGCAAUUUAUUAUAAUAUAGUAUAUUUGUGGACUCUUCUUCGUGAUGGGAUGGGUUUAUCUAGUUAUUAAGAACAGGAACACUGAGACGUUGAAGUCCAACACAGUCCUGACACGUUUUCUUUUUAGUGACUAAUCACAAAGAUAUAAAAUGGAAGGAAACUCUGAAAUCAAUGUUAUACGCUUCAUUGCUUGGUCUCUUCUAAAUAAAAAGAUAAGAUUCUA
Molecule: long non-coding RNA, 927 nt
Organism: Pseudophryne corroboree (corroboree frog)
Lineage: Eukaryota; Metazoa; Chordata; Amphibia; Anura; Myobatrachidae
Exons: 3
Source: RefSeq, a predicted model, not a curated record